RNAcentral lists this ribosomal RNA (488 nucleotides) under marine sediment bacterium ISA-6371. RNAcentral describes it as "bacterial SSU rRNA". It matches the Rfam family "Bacterial small subunit ribosomal RNA", at positions 37 to 518 of the family's 1533-position model. The record is from RNAcentral.
UAGCGGCAGGCUUAACACAUGCAAGUCGAGGGGCAGCGAAUCUAGCUUGCUAGAUGUCGGCGACCGGCGAACGGGUGCGUAACGCGUAUAGAAUCUGCCUUGUACAGGAGGAUAGCCUUUAGAAAUGAAGAUUAAUACUCCAUAAUGUUUAGAGAUGGCAUCAUUUUUAAAUUAAAGAUUUAUUGGUACAAGAUGACUAUGCGUCCUAUUAGCUAGAUGGUAAGGUAACGGCUUACCAUGGCAACGAUAGGUAGGGGGUCUGAGAGGAUUAUCCCCCACACUGGUACUGAGACACGGACCAGACUCCUACGGGAGGCAGCAGUGAGGAAUAUUGGUCAAUGGAGGCAACUCUGAACCAGCCAUGCCGCGUGCAGGAAGACUGCCCUAUGGGUUGUAAACUGCUUUUAUACAGGAAGAAACAGUCGUACGUGUACGACCUUGACGGUACUGUAAGAAUAAGCACCGGCUAACUCCGUGCCAGCAGCCGC